GACAGAGGGUGCAAACGUUGUUCGGAAUUACUGGGCGUAAAGCGCGCGUAGGCGGCUCGGAAAGUCGGUCGUGAAAUGCCGGGGCUCAACCCCGGGACUGCGUCCGAUACUCCCGAGCUGGAGGCAGGUAGGGGAGAUCGGAAUUCCUGGUGUAGCGGUGAAAUGCGCAGAUAUCAGGAGGAACACCGGUGGCGAAGGCGGAUCUCUGGGCCUCGCCUGACGCUGAGGCGCGAAAGCUAGGGGAGCGAACAGG
Molecule: ribosomal RNA, 253 nt
Filed under: uncultured bacterium
Lineage: Bacteria
Description: partial 16S ribosomal RNA
Rfam family: Bacterial small subunit ribosomal RNA
Source: RNAcentral